Musca domestica (house fly) is the source of this 847-nucleotide long non-coding RNA. RefSeq lists it as uncharacterized. Lineage: Eukaryota; Metazoa; Arthropoda; Insecta; Diptera; Muscidae. The record is from RefSeq and is a predicted model, not a curated record. The transcript has 3 exons.
UAAUUCGUGUACCUUAUUCUGAGAGCGAACAACAUGUGUAACAACCGUGUUCAAGAAAAACGAAAUGAAAUCGCUGUAUUGACCAUUAAGUGACGUUGACGGUAUGCUGGCGUUUAGCCCGGCUAUGGCUCGUCGGAUUGGGGGUUGGUUCUGCCACUUGCAGAUCUUUUCGGUUGUACAAACAAAAAAAAUCAUACCGGACUUCAAACUAAAUUAAAAAAGGGGGCUUAAUGGCGGGCACCCAGAGUGUGGAACAUUGACGGCAACUUGUGACUAAGGCUUUUUCCCAAAACGUAAGUAUGUAUGAAUUAGUUUGUGUUUCAGCUUUUUAAUUAUAUUCCUUGGUCAGAAUGUAAAUAAUUUUUCUUUGCUUUCAAUUCCAGAUGAGGACGAACAAAGGAAUGUAGGUCGAUACCACAUUAAAUCGACAAUCCAACUAAUGCCUGGUAACCUAACCUUGAAUUGAACUCAGUUCAAUGUCGCGUACCUGCAUACCAACACAAAUCGUCCGUCUGUCUGUCCGGAGUUCAAUAAGUAGCAGUGUCAAUUGGGAAUGAUACCAAAACACGCUGGAGCAGCAAUGGCGUAAACUCUGCGCCUACCUCGGUGGAUUGGACGGGCGAUGGUGUGGCUCGUUGCUCAUGGUCUGGAUAUUGUUUUUCAGUUGAUUUUUCUUUAGUUUUAGUAUUAGACUAAGAUUUUAGUUUAAAACUGUAUUCAAAAUCUUCCCAAAAAAUAUUUGAUUUAUUUAUAUUAGUUUAUAAUUUUUAGCCUUUAAGUCCUAAAAAUUGAAUUUCAAUGUUUAAGGCUUAAUAUUUAGAUUAAAGACGCUUGUAUUUUGUGUUGU